CUGUCCCAUGGUCACACAGCGAGUAAACGAAGGGGCCGGGAUCUCACCCAGCCAGUCUGUCAGAGCCCAGAGUCUUCAUCACUGCUUAAUCACACGCUUGAUCCGAAUGACAUCAUACUCUUUCACCAAAACCUAGGAAACAGGCCGGUCAUGCCAGAUCCACACAGGAGGUGGGGUCCUGGAGGGGUGACAGGGCUGAUGGCUGCAGGCUGGAAGUUGGGACCUGCUCAGCCUGCCCUGGGGGUUCCCCUUUUCUGGGAUCAGACUUGCCUCCUCGGGGCCCAACCUGCCCACUUUCCAGAAGGGACACAGCCAAAGAUCAAGCGUCUAAGGCACCUUGGAGUUUACCUGUCCCUACAGAGGGGACGGUAUUCAAAUAAGAUGCAAAUGGACCCAAUGGGUAAAGGGGAGGUUUUCCUCCAAUAGCAGGACGGGGCUCUGAGGUAACGUCUGUUUGCCCUAAACCGCAAACCAAUGCUCAGCAACAGCGGGGUGAGCGGCUGGAGAGGGGCCUGGUGCUCCUGCAAUGGCCAGGGCAGCGUUGUCACCUGCUCCCACCCCGCCUGCCCCCCCACCCUGACCUCCACAGGGUGGGGGGCCGAGCCUGCCUUGCAGCAGGAUGGUCAGGGCAGGGCCAGGACCAGGGCUACAGGGACUGGAGUGCCCUCUGAGGAGGGAGCCCGUUAAACAUUAGCCCUGAUGGCCCCCCGCGAAGUGAGUCAGACUCCCCGCGGGCUCCACGCUGGCCAGUUGCCGUUCCAGGUGGGUGACCAAGCUGCCGAAGCCUGGGACAGGCCACUGGGCCACGUGGGGGUGGCAGCCUGCUCCCCUGGCCCCUUGGGGCUCUCUCAAGUCUGAAGCUUGCCGUGGCCUUCACCCGAGAUGAGGGCGGGGUUUCCACUCCCCGGACACACCCCCAAGCUGGCCUGCAGGCUGGACCACAGCAGCUCGAGCCCCCACCAGCCAGUGGCUCAGGCACUCAGGGCUGCAGCUGGCAUCUGGCAGCUCAGAGAGGGACAGUGCCUUGCUCAAGGUCACAGGCCUAGCCAGGGGCUGAAACCGCAGACUCCUGGUCUGCUGAGAAAGGAUGCGAGCAGAGUUUGGGUCUCCCGGCUGGAGGCAGCAGCCUGGGGGCCUGAGCAGGGGGCCCACCUGUAGCCUUGACGUGGCACCCACCUGGUUCCACUUGUUGGCACAGGGUGGGCUCAGGGGAGAAUGACCUCACCCAGGAGCAGGGUGUGCAUUUUGUGUGUGUGUGUGUGUGUGUGUGUGUGUGUGUGUGUGUGUGUGUACGUGCUCUGGGUCAUCCAGGAGAGGGUGAGCCUGCGGAGUUCCCGUGUGACCAUGACAGCACACAGGGCGGGGGCUGCCUGCCUGUGAGGGUGACGGAUGCCCAUGCGUCCUUCAUGUUAGAAUUUUCUAGAUGCCAUUCCCCUGCUUGGAUCUCUGAGGAAACCAGGGCCACUGUGGUGACAUUUUGAUAAAGCACACAUACUCGGUGAAAAGGCUUCUCUUUGUUCAAGGAUGCAGGUCUUCCUUUUAUUAUUUCAGUGUUAAAAUACCCUGCACUUACCAGGUGGGGGAGGGGCAGGAGGCAGUAAUUGUUUUUGUUGUUGUUUUUGCUUUUUUGGCUGCCCUGCAGCACAUGGAGUUCCCAGGCCAGGGAUCAGAUCCCACCCACGGCUGUGAUCUAUGUGGCAGAUGUGGCAACACCGGAUCCUUAACCCCCUGUGCUGGGCCGUCCCAGGGCUCCAGAGACGCCACAGCGGGAGCUCCUAAUGGCUUUUUUUUUUUUUUUUUUUUUUUUUUGACGUGCUUACUUCAAAAAACAAACUGGUGGCAACACGGUUUGGGUAUUCAUAUCUUUAACAACAUUAUUUGUUUGUGAAAAGCCAAAGCCGCUGCCUCGGAUCCUUUAGGGUGUAGGUCUUAUCACCUCGCAGUGGAAAGGAACUGAGGUCAGUCUGUGACUUCCAGCCCCACUGGCCUGGGGCCAGGGAUGUCCGAUCCCCACGCUGGCUGCCUCUGUGCUGUGCAGCGGGGGCAGGGGGGAGUCCAGAGCUGCCAUCUUCCUGGGGAGGGAAGAGAGAGGUGGUUCCCUCCUGCACUGGCUGCGGAGUCUCAAAAACACCUGUCCUUGUCCAGGGGAAUCCCGGUGUCACAAGCCCCGUCUUCGUGGGUUCUCCCCGGAGGAAGUGACCAGCACAGGCUCACAGUUUUUAAUGCCCCGUCUAAAGAACUAUACAAAGAACAGUACUGCACCAACCACUGAUGUAUUUUAUUUUAUUUUUUUAGGGCUGCACAGCGGAAUUUGGAGAUUCCCAGGCGAGGGGUCGAAUCAGGAGCUGCUGUCACUGGCCUACGCCAUAGCCACAGCCACGCCAGAUCCAAGCCGCGUCUGUGACCUAUACCACAGCUCACAGCAAUGCUGGAUCCUUAACCCACUGAGCAGAGGCUAAGGAUCAAACCUGCGUCCUCAUAGAUGCUAGUCAGAUUUGUUUCCCCUAAGCCAUGACGGGAAUUCCCAACCACUGAUUUUAAGAACUAGGGCAUUGCAAGUCAAUUAUCUUGGUAAUAACCUGCAGUGGAAAAUAAUUCUGGAAAUAAAUAAAUACUUGAUUUAAUUUUAUAUUUAUUUUAUAAGUUAUUUUAUAAUUAUUUAUAACAACUAUUCAUAUGUCAUAUAAAUUAUUCAUAAUAAUUUGCAUAUACCUAUGUGUAUAUUCAUACAUACAUAUAUAGAACUGAAUUACUGUGCUGCAUGCCUGAAACUAACACAAUAUUGUAAAUCACCUACACUUCAAUUUACUUUUUAUUUAUUUAUUUAUUUAUUUUUCUUGUCUUUUUUUUUUUUGCCUUUUCCAGGGCUGCUCCUGCAGCAUAUGGAGGUUCCCAGGCUAGGGGUCCAAUCGGAGCUACAGCUGCAGGAUCUGAGCCGCGUCUGAGACCUACACCACAGUUCACGGCAAUGCCGGAUCCGUAACCCACUGAGCAAGGUCAGGGAUCGAACCAGAAACCUCACGGUUCUUAGUCGGAUUCGUUAACCACUGUGCCACGAUGGGAACUCCGAUCAAUUUUAAAAAAAAGCCUCCCCUGCGCGCUCCUCUCCACAAAGGAUAAAGUCAUCUUCAGUCUUGUGUGUUUGUUCUCCUGGCUCUCUGCAUAAUGUAACCAUGUGUUCACGGCUCCAGAAACAAUGCCUCGCUUACGUUUG
Molecule: long non-coding RNA, 3214 nt
Filed under: Sus scrofa (pig)
Lineage: Eukaryota; Metazoa; Chordata; Mammalia; Artiodactyla; Suidae
Description: lncRNA (ENSSSCG00000063271.1)
Source: RNAcentral